AUACCGGCUUGAAACAGCGGUUCUCAUACGAUCACAGAAGUUAAGCAACGUUGAACUUGGUCAUUACCUAGAUGAGUGACCGCAUGGGAAUACCAGGUGCUGUAAG
Molecule: non-coding RNA, 106 nt
Organism: Acanthosepion pharaonis
Lineage: Eukaryota; Metazoa; Mollusca; Cephalopoda; Sepiida; Sepiidae
Source: the annotation of a GenBank genome assembly